GGAGUUCAUCGGGGACGCUGAGCCACCUGCAUGGCAUGCAGGGGGUCAGGGGUUCGAGUCCCCUCAGAUCCA
RNAcentral lists this transfer RNA (72 nucleotides) under Curtobacterium sp. PsM8. Its description in RNAcentral is "tRNA-Ala". Lineage: Bacteria; Bacillati; Actinomycetota; Actinomycetes; Micrococcales; Microbacteriaceae. The record is from RNAcentral.